GAUGUGACUCAGUUGGUAGAGUGCUUGUUUAGCAUGCGUGAGGCCCUGAGUUCAAUCCCAGCACA
RNAcentral lists this transfer RNA (65 nucleotides) under Marmota monax (woodchuck). RNAcentral describes it as "tRNA.Ala". Lineage: Eukaryota; Metazoa; Chordata; Mammalia; Rodentia; Sciuridae. The record is from RNAcentral.